RNAcentral lists this transfer RNA (85 nucleotides) under Microcoleus sp. RNAcentral's name for it is "tRNA-Ser". It matches the Rfam family "tRNA". Rfam says of the family: Transfer RNA (tRNA) molecules are approximately 80 nucleotides in length. Their secondary structure includes four short double-helical elements and three loops (D, anti-codon, and T loops). Further hydrogen bonds mediate the characteristic L-shaped molecular structure. tRNAs have two regions of fundamental functional importance: the anti-codon, which is responsible for specific mRNA codon recognition, and the 3' end, to which the tRNAs corresponding amino acid is attached (by aminoacyl-tRNA synthetases). tRNAs cope with the degeneracy of the genetic code in two manners: having more than one tRNA (with a specific anti-codon) for a particular amino acid; and 'wobble' base-pairing, i.e. permitting non-standard base-pairing at the 3rd anti-codon position. Lineage: Bacteria; Bacillati; Cyanobacteriota; Cyanophyceae; Oscillatoriales; Microcoleaceae. The record is from RNAcentral. RNAcentral also lists the same sequence under 3 other names.
GGAGAGGUGGCAGAGUGGUCGAAUGCGCUUGACUUGAAAUCAAGUGAACUGAAAGGUUCCGUGGGUUCAAAUCCCACCCUCUCCG